GUCACUAAUUUUCUAUCUGGGGAGGUAUUUGUUGCAGUUCAGCAGUUACUCUGGUUUUGUUUUGGGUGUGCUAGAAGCAACUUGCAUGGUCAGUUAUUAACUAUGAGGGAAGCACAACUGUAACUUAAGAAACCUGUACGCUCCUGUCUGAAAAACCAGAAAUAAACAUCUUUCUCUGCUUCAGAUUGUCACCUCAGACUUUCACCUUUAGUUAAGUGCUUCAAAAGCAGCUUAGGUUGCUUUUCACUGUAGUUUGAGACAUUCAAAUUUUUCUUUUCCUGUUGCUUAACUUUCUUGCAUUUGUCUUUCCUUUCCUAAAAUUCAACGUUCUUCUGUGAUGAUUCAGUGCUCCCUUCUGUUAACUGUAAACAUGCAGGGAGAAGAUAACCUGUGUUCCCAGAACAGGCCUGAAUGCAGCAUAAACACUCUUCUAAUCAGUUUAAAGAUCCCUCCUGAGGAUAUCCAGGGUUUUUAGCUCAAGUGAGAGAGAUCUAGAAACCUUCCAGCAAGUCCACUCAUUGCUUAAAAUACCAACCAGAGGAAAAUUGGACAAAGAUCCAGUGAAUAUUUGUGACUCAACUUCAUUUUGAUUUUAACCAGCCCUAAACACUGACCUGUAGGCUUCUCAAUCAGCUAAUAUUACAGUGUGGGACAAAGCAAUAUUUAACCUCUGAAAAUUUGGGCUAUAGUAUAAAGCUUUUCAACACUUUGAUUUUUUUUCCCUGUAGGCAUAUACAAAUUUUCAGAGAACCAGAUGUUAGUAAACUGAAGAAAAACUAUUGCCGCAAUCCAGAUGAUGAUUUUCAUGGUCCCUGGUGUUACACAGAUGAUCCUCUCAUUCCCUGGGAUUACUGCCCUAUUUCUCGAUGCGAAGGUGAUACAACUCCUACUACAACCAGUGUGGAUGGUAAGUUUGCAGAUGUCCUGUGCCCUGGCAUGCAUUAUAUCCUACAAGACUAGACAUUUCUUUCUGACUGAGAAGGAAGAAAAAGAUCAAUUAAGGGUACAAAAUAUACAGCUUGGGAAAGAAACAUAAAUAAAUAAAUAAAAGGCAAAUGUAGAAUAGCUUUACUAUACUU
This 1079-nucleotide long non-coding RNA is filed under the name Anas platyrhynchos platyrhynchos (common mallard). RNAcentral describes it as "lncRNA (ENSAPLG00000019686.1)". The record is from RNAcentral. Lineage: Eukaryota; Metazoa; Chordata; Aves; Anseriformes; Anatidae.